AUGAUGAUACAAAACUCUUUUUAAACGGUUAGAACCUGAAUCCUUGUGAAGAUUUUUACUAGGGCGGACUGAUAUU
This is a small nucleolar RNA of Leptidea sinapis, 76 nucleotides long. RefSeq annotates it as small nucleolar RNA U43. The record is from RefSeq and is a predicted model, not a curated record. The transcript has a single exon. NCBI's taxonomy places the organism in Eukaryota, Metazoa, Arthropoda, Insecta, Lepidoptera, Pieridae.